Molecule: ribosomal RNA, 253 nt
Filed under: uncultured bacterium
Lineage: Bacteria
Description: partial 16S ribosomal RNA
Rfam family: Bacterial small subunit ribosomal RNA
Source: RNAcentral
UACGUAGGGCGCAAGCGUUGUCCGGAAUUAUUGGGCGUAAAGAGCUCGUAGGCGGCCUGUUGCGUCCGCUGUGAAAUCCCGGGGCUCAACCCCGGGCCUGCAGUGGAUACGGGCUGGCUAGAGGCAGGCAGGGGAGAACGGAAUUCCUGGUGUAGCGGUGAAAUGCGCAGAUAUCAGGAGGAACACCGGUGGCGAAGGCGGGUCUCUGGGCCGAUACUGACGCUGAGGAGCGAAAGCGUGGGUAGCAAACAGG